UGGUACUUGUAGGGGUUAAAGAUAUAGAGAUACUUUCUGUGUGCAAAAUAUUUGCUUGCUCUGCGCGUAAGCGCCUUCAAUUAGCAGCUAGCAAUGUGAUACUUGGCAAAUCGAAUCGAAUUCUGAAAUCGAGAGCGUGAUUAAGUUUCCACUGGAAUUGACAUAUUAACUAGAUCUAUUAGCAUAGGGCUAACAAUUCCCAGCUCACACAUUAAUACGUAUACGUACACGUACGUGUAUCUAUCCCAUUUUUUCCACACAAAGCCCCAUUGAAUCCUACCCGAUCAUCUCAGUUUUGGUCGGUUAGCAGUCGCUGCAUGUUAAUCAAUUUAUUUAAACGGCAAACAAAUAAAGCAGCACGAAAAAUAUCACUGCGUGUCAUGUGGACACUGACCAAGGUACGAAUUUUGGCAAAAACCAAAAAGCUGAGGCCGGCUCGGAAUAUUUCCAAUGGCCUUUCUUACUCAAACAUGGCUUAAACUCCACUGCGCACAGUGAAAAUUGCUCAUUAAGGCCAUUUGAAACGGAGAUUUCUCUGAAAAAUAUACCUUAUAUUAAUGCUACAAUCAUAUCAUUGGGCAAAUGGGAAAGCGCGCGAUAUAUUUGAAUUAAAAUAUAAAUUGGCGAACGUGCGAGCGGAACAUAAAGAUUUUUUAUUAUAUGACUAAAGCUGUAGAUGGAUAGCAUUUAACCAGAUCACAUACCUCGAACUUCAUCUUUAUAUGCAUGGUGGAGGCGAUCCCACCGUCGUUUAAAUCAAUGGUUCGCAACUGGCAUUGGUAAUAGAUUUAUAUUGUAUAUUUGAAAUAUAUAUAUAUAUUUAUAUAGA
Long non-coding RNA from Drosophila sechellia, 829 nucleotides. RefSeq lists it as uncharacterized. The record is from RefSeq and is a predicted model, not a curated record. NCBI's taxonomy places the organism in Eukaryota, Metazoa, Arthropoda, Insecta, Diptera, Drosophilidae. The transcript has 2 exons.